AUAGCAAUAACGGUCGUUGUUUGAAACUAAACUCUCAAAAAAGCCGCGUUACUGUCCCGACCCAGUUUGCAAGAACAACCUACUUGCUUCGUUUGCCUCUAUGCCGUUCCACUGGCCAUCUGCUCAUUACCGCGUUACGCUUCCUCCUAACCUUCCCUCGAAUUCGCCUGAUAAACGCUACCAAGCGCAACCAGGAAGUCAAAGCGUCGUCGCUCGACUCGGAAUUAAAACGCGGUUGCCUGACCUCCAACAAGCUCAUGCCGCCCUAAUACCGUUGACAUCUGCGCGAUUUAUCUUUCUUCAGCCGGGACAAAUUGAAUUUACCUCGCGGCAGGGUGGGGCUCGUCCGUCAUUCUUCCGACUUAUUGGCCGCUAUAUACGGCUUCAUAGUCUCCUAAUAGUGCGUGUGCUCGCACUAUAAAAACAAAACCACGUCGAACAUGCCACGACAGGUGAAUCGAGGGAACGUGCGUGCACACGGGCGGACAGGUGUUCGGCGAGCGUGUAUGAAAUCGACGACAAACGUCAAUGCCGAUGAACGCUGCCGCCUUUCAGGGCACCAGAAGGUUGCCCUGCUGGAAUAUAGUCGACGGGUUUCGCGUUAUGCUCGCCUGUUGACGCUCGUGUCUAUUCGUCUCUGUCCGUGCGACAAGCGAGCAUAAUUUACGAGGUCCGCGACCUCCGUAUCUGCCGUCCUAGUAGCCGGGAAUGAGGCGCUAAAGCGAGGAAUGUGGCUGUAAAAUGGAGGAGGAUUAAGCGUUCUUCGAGAACAGAAGAUCAUGACGUGCAGAGACUCGCGGGUCAACGCGGACUUGAACAACACAGCAGCACCUCUUAACGCGGCACCUAUUAUUACGGUACACGGUUAUUUACAUAUGUAAACGUAUCCUCUUUAAAAUCGGGCAUUUCGUACGAAAAUCGGACGAGAAGAACGUGAUAAGCGCGCUUCGUCGAAUUUCUGACCGUUUUUAGUACGACGUAAUCGAAAACGAAAGCAAAAUGUUUCGAGUUUAGAGGAGACGCAAGUGCUUUACGAACAGCUGUCGAGUUGAUGUUUCUUCGGUACUCUGCCAUUAUGAUUGAUAAUACUGGUUUAACGAAGAAGCUUGAGCAAGAAGACAAGAUGUCGAUGGAAAGAUGACGCAAAAACGAUGGCAAUAUACAACAAUAAUCGUAGAAUACGCGGAACGACGAAAAGUAUAAACCAGGUGCAAGGAGUGAAUGAUCACGGUGGAGUUAACAUUCGAAAGGAACAAACGAGACAAGAAACCAUUUUCACGUAUGUACGAACAAACGUUUCUAUUCGUCGACUUACCCAACCACGAUCGAUAUUACGUAUUCGCUCAGCGGCAUUCGCUCAGUGUCACCAUCGUGUUACCACUGAAUGGUAACGGUGUAUAAUCAGCGCGAGCGACUUUAACGUUUUCAUUUCAUCGAACAUAAGCGCAAAAAGCAACGUGGAGAAGCGUCUCGUCCGAACACGACGCGAACGGGUCGAAAGUGGUGUGUCUUGGGACGAACCAAGAAAGCUGAGAAUAAUGGAUCGACUCCUCUACGAGACAGGGUAAUAUGAGACGUAGAAAUCCGUUCGAUGGCGAAGGAAAACCAGCAAUUCGUAGAGAACAAAAGAAUGUCGGGGUGCUGUAACAGGACAGCAUGUUCGGAACAUCGCUUGUCACCAUCGAUCCGUCACAUUUGCGUAUGACAGUGCCUCCUUGCUAUAUGAUAAUUCCCGCCAUCUAUCCAUCGAACCUCGAUACUUUUCUUUUUCUCCGUCUUGAACUUGAUUUCUAAUCAGCUAUUUACUCUUUGAGAAAUCUCUAGACGUAUUUAUACUCUGGCACAUUUCAGGAUACUGUAUUACGUGUACGAGGCUCGGCCAAAGAUAAAUCGAAUUUUGUUCGUAACUUUAUAUUUCAGUAAAUUAAAAAAAAAAAAAAAAAAAAAAAAAAAGAAGAAAAAGAGAAAACAAACAAUCGAGUUACCUUUCCACGUAUGUUUCGCUCUGUUUUAUCCUUCGUCACUAGAUUGGUAAUUUUUUUAUUCCAGUAGAAAGCGAAGGGCUGGAUCAGAAGCCAAUCGCACACGAGUUGUUCUACUUCCUCGGUGCUGUUGAAGGAACGUUGUCCACCGAACACCGUCCUUUUAACCGGUCGCAAUUUCACGGAACUUUAACUCCUUCCGAAUGAUCGAACCUAUACGUUGCUAUUUAUGCAGCGUUUCGGUAGGUUUUGCGCCCUCGAUGGAUAAAACCUUGUUUUACUACCGAAAGACGGAACUGCUUCCUCGCUCGUUGCGUUAUCUACCGAAAAAAAAAAAAAAAAAAAAAAAAAAACGAUAAAUGGAGCAUCACGUGGGGUGGAUUGUCUUUUAAGAUACGCGUAUUUGAUAAGCGACAGCGUGCAGACGUGGCACACGCAAUUCGUUCAACGUCUGACCGAACCUCGUACUACGAGUACCGUGUUACAACCUCUUCCACACCGGUCACACUCCUUGACAACGCUGACGACACUCUUCGUCAACCCUGACAACGCUAAAAGCUCUCUGGCAACUCAAGGCUACCUUUUAUACCCUGGCUCCGGUAUACCUGGCCCGCACAUGUCCCAUGGUCAAGCAGACCUUUUUAAUUACUCAGAGUUUUCCCCCGAUACUACGAUACCGUAUAUCUAUAAAUAUCGAACUGUAUUCAUAUAUUAUACUGCCAUCCGCGAUAAGCUUCCUGCGUGAAACAAGCGUAUGUAGGCUUUAUGCUAUAAAUGUAUGGUUCUAACGACAAAUUAUACGUCGUGUUUGUGAUUUUAGGUGGAGGGGCGAAUGAAUUGGUCGCGGGUUCCAUGCUUUAAAAGGGGAUUCUAAUUCCAUCGUUUCGCUCGAACGAGUUCGGAUAAAAAGCGAUGCGGUGACAGCGAUCAGGAAGCUAUAACGGCGGAGAAUCUUGCGCAUUCCGCGUGUUCUCUCUUCGGUCGUUGUCCGUCAGAUGGAAAUUCGUGGCGAUCGGACAGGUUCGGAUUGUUCGUUCCACGCAUUCGCCGGAAAUCGUAGGAGACGUACGCGCCGAGAAACGAGAACGGGUUGUGGGCGGUGACGGAACAUUCAUAGAAACUCUAUCCGGCCCUCAGAGAGGCGAGGAGGUCAAUCGGCAUUUACUUCCCCUUUUACGACCGCGAACAGUCGCUAAUUCUGGCCAAACUUUCGUCACCGCGUCGAUUGGUCGAACCGUUUCACCGAUUCUCUCUCCUUCUCUUUUGUUUCCAGUAGCACGAAGUGAAGUUCUUCCAACCCGGAAUUUCAUAACGUCGAAUAAACUUUCGAUACUAUUUAUUAUAAUUACUAUACGUCUGUUUAAUAACAAUACCAAUUUCUAUUAUUUAUAUUUUUACGUAUUUCAGGAUUUUUCAGUUACCAAUUGCUCGUAUAAAACGAAGCGCGAGCGAUCUCCGAAGGAAAAUAGAAAUAACGUUUGCAUCCCCUUUGUUCGCCAAACGUAUAGGGGAAGAUGUUACUACCACCUAUCGCCCUAUGUAUCCCUAGCAACUUUCUCAAUUUCUCUUUGUUCGCGAAAUAUCGUUAUAGCCCGUUAUACACUUUGAUUAACUCCCUUUGUACCUCAUUCUAUAACGUCAAAGGAAAUUACGCUUUACCUAAAUCAAAAAGCGCUUCUCUCCAAACCCGAUAUAAUCUCUGCACCGCCUCGGUACUCCAUCGACUUGACACGAAUACAUCGAACCAUUCGAAAGCCGUUAUACCGAACGAACGAAACAACUUGGCAUAAUCACCGACGCUUUAAUUCUAACUUGCGAACGAGUUUAACGAUUCGAUAAGAAUCAAACAGUUCGACUAAUCUCCGAUAACCGUCACUGCCUACUUAUCGAAGCACCAGCGAUCGAUCGAUCAAAGCGUUUGCAUAAUUCGUCCCACGCGACGAUCGGCCGUAAUUAUGAUCGAACCACGUAUACGUUUUCGCACGAGCACGUUACAUUGCAUAAACAACGCUACGGCGUCAAGAAAAAAAAAAAAAAAAAAAAAAAAAGAAAAAAAGGUGAUUCCACUUUUUUCGACACCAGGACGCCAUAGACGCGUCUCGGUGGUUCGGUGAUCAGGUGGAAUACCUCGUGGGGUUUCCAAUCAAUCGGCGGCUUCCGGUGCUAUCAGAGGAGCAUAAGUGGAGCGGGAAAACCGAACUUUCCUAUCGUUCCGCGAGAAAAACGUGCGUGUCGCCGAUGCGUCCGUCGCUCCUGAUAGACGGCGACGCGGCCAAGACUUUUACGAACCGGAAAAGAAAUCGCGGUAAGGAGAUGCCGUCGUCGAUCCGACGACGAAUCAGCCCGUAUUCACAUAUGAGAAUGGCGGCGCGACUUCGUCCGAAGGAAAGGGUUAGUCGUCCAAGUGCUUCGAGUCACACAUCGCGACAGGGCCGACAUAACCGCGAGAGAGGUGCCCUGAUAUUCGUCUGGUCGUUCACCUCGUACACCUUUCGAGCGGACACGUGCACUGGACACCGGUGGGCGUAAAAGGGAUUAGCGAGGAGCCUCGUGAAAUUUGAGAUUCGAAAGGGAGCAACGAGACGCGUUAAUUGGACGAUGAAUAAGGAAUUCAUCUGGAUAUCAGUGACGCGUAAUUAGGCUUUCGUUUCGCAGAGUCUCUGGCGAAUAUUUGUCUCUGGGUUUAGGAAGCGUUUGAAAUUUGUUUUCUACCUACGUAUGUAUAUCAUCCGCGGUCUAUCAGUAACUAAAAAUAUGUAAAAGUACGUUUGAUCGAGAAACUUGGCUUCCAAGAUCUCUAGUAACACUCAGCGGUUCGCAACGAAGGAACGUAUCCGCGUAUACUGUCGGCUAUUAGUAUUAUCUACGUAUGACAUCUACCGGUUACAUUUGUCGGAAAACUCUAAUAAAUUUUAUUUUAUGGGAAAAUAAAACGGGGAAAUAAAAAGAGCGGGCAAUAUCGAAUUUGGAUUAAAUAACAACGCGUAGCGAUAUGCUUGCCAGGAGUACGCCAUGCUCCGCUUGGUGGAAACGCUCUUUGCCGACGUAGUAGGCGUGCCAAGCCGGAAUCAUCGCUUGUCAAAACUGUCCAUUAACGCAUCAGAUCGAUGGCAUCAUAACUCGACUAAGGAAUAGGGCACGAUACACGUUGAGGAGUUGUAGCGAAUGCACACGCGCGAGUAGGGGUCUCCACCAGCCAAGUGCAUCUAAGAAAUGCGAACGUUCGGGUCAAGCCAGAUGGAGGAAGGGUCUCGUUCUGAUCGUUCCGAUAAUCGAAAGGGCUAUCGGCAGUCUAUUGGUUUGAUCCCCCUGUCCCAGGCUAACAGAAGUUGGCUGGCAGUCGUACGAAAUUCCUACGAUCUUCCGUGUGUCGGUACCAUAGUCUGUACUCGACAGAAGCACGGUUUUCGAAAGCGUGUCACGCGAUUCGUCGGUGAUUAGCCGACGCAGUAGGAGCACAGAGUGUAUUCGGUGUUUCUACGUUUCCACGGAGCUGGUCCGCUCUGGAUGAUGGAACGUCGGACAGCCUACCAAUAGGAAUAAUUUAAUCUGGUGCCCGAGGGAAAGGGUUGAAUAAAAUAUAUUCACAUAUUCGAAGUAGGCUGGUAUACACCGCGAGAAGGUGUUUUAUCGAGGUUGGCACGGGUUAUAGCUUUGCCCUUGGGCAGUUAUGUUGCUCUGAUGAUUCGUCCCGUUCUUCGGAAACUGUCGUUCCGUGGACGAUUCGGAAGGGAGAAUGACGACGAUAGAGACUAGGAAAACGGACAGGACGGAAGAGGAAAAUUAAUGGCGGGUGAAGCGAGAACGCUCGAAGGGAUUCGGGUUGUCGUCGUUGGAGAGAAAGGGUUCGCCUCGUCGGGAUUCCACCCACGCUUUUUUCACAGGAUAACAUCCUCGCGAGGAAUCCCCGCGGGAAACCAUCGAAUCGAAGGCCUAGCCUAGGUUAGCAAUGAGACUGCCUAGACCGGAUCUAUCCAUCCAACGCGUUUUUCGUUUUCUCUUCGCUUUCUCGCGUAACGGUUACAAGCAAAUACUUUUCCUGUAAUUAGGAAAACGAUUUUUUCAAACGCUAUAAAUUAUAUGCUAUAAAUUUGUUUAAAAUUCUCCUUCUAUUUGCGAUCUACGAAUCCGAUCUAAAACCAUUCCACAACAGAACAAACAUCGAUCCUUGACAAAACCGAUACUUCCCUCUCAACUAUCUCUUUCUCUCCCUCAAACAUUCCAGCAGCUUGCCAGGCCAGAAUCACGACUUCAACUAAGUCAACUCCCCCAGGAUCAAGACCCACCAACUUACACCACCAUUCCUACCCUAAAUUCGAAGGGUUUUUAACCUCCUUAUCCAGGCCAAGAGACCUCCUACAUUCUGAUAGCUGCCUAACCAGUGUCACCUGCGGUGUAAUUAAUAUUCAUACAUACGCCUCGUGAACAUGACUUCCCAUAGCCGCGUGUCGUUACAAAGUAUUAUCGGCAUCUUUCGUUUCAGUACCGAAACGAUCUAAGCUAGCCGAGUGGAAAUACACGUGGCGAAAGAAGGAAGGAAGGGAUUUAGGUUAGUUUGUCUGGCGGCAAGUCGUUUCAGUCCAUCGACGGACUGGUGCUAUCAGGAUACCAUGGAUAGGCCAGCUGAUUAUUGGAUGACACACAAAAGUGCUAGGGGAGCAUAAAUUUGUGUCACGUGAUUUUCCACGGAGUUAAACAUUUACGAUGAUCAACGUGUCGAUAAAGAGACGAUCAACGAUGGUUCUAGACAAUACAAAAGUAAACAAGAUGAUCAGGGAAGGAGGAAUGGCGAGGAGAUGGUUUGGACAGCGAAUUGGGGUGCGUUACCCCUGGGGCUGGCACCAGUCCGGUUCAUUCUCCGCCAGGAGGCGGUUCGGAGGAUUAAUGGAUUGUGUCGUUAUGUGUCUCGACCGGGGGGUGGGAUUAUUCCAAUGGGAUGGACGAAUGGUGCUCUCUAUGGACCCCGUCGGUGCAUGUAGAUCGCUUUACAAUGUUUUCUGAAAUAUUCCGCGAGAGAAGCUUAUUAGCCAAUUUACGAGCUUAUCGUCUUCUCCAUUUCGUAUCACUUGUUAUCGCUCUUUGAGAAACUUCAUCGCGUUUGAUCGCGAUUAUGAUAUAUACGUACAUAUAUAUUACGAAUAGUUUAUUUUCAAUUCAUGCCGAACCUUUUGUUAUAUGAUCGAUUAUAUAAUUCUAUAUACCGCAUACCAUAUAUACCGUAUAUAGGAUCAUUAUGACGAAUAGUAUCAAGUUGUAAAUAAUUUAUUUCGAACUUCUUCUUUCGCCGAAUGAAAAUAUUUUCUUUAUUGAACUUUAAAUAUCUUUAUUUCGUAGGUUAACGAUGUUAGAAAGGAUCGUUGUGCUUUUAUCAGUUCCUAGACAUUGGAUUUCGCGUUUAAUCUAGGAGGAUCGUAAAUUCUCGCGACAACAACACGUUUUACAGAUAAUAAAUGAUAAUAGAACGUUAGAAAGUGUAAUCGUAUGUUUCCUUUCAUUCUGUGAAAUUCACUUCCUGAAUCUUCGCCCAGUGAACCUCUCAUUUCCUCCAUUUAUAUAACCUGCUUAAACGAGCUCUCUCAAUCACGGAAUCCGUUCCCUCGUUUAUAACAUUGUACUACUUCCAUGAAUUAGUACCUACCAAUUAGGACUAACUAACGCAGUGUAAUUAAGUCCAGGUUAUAUAAAUCAGCGUUAUCAUCGUACGAAGCAAGCGUUUCGAGAGUUUCUUCUCUGCGGUCAAUAGUACCGAACGUUCGAAAUGUAUCCAAUUCUAGUGCUUUCCUACGUAUGUAACAUUCUAUCGGUCCAUUCUGUAUUCCGUCUGAUGCUAAUUUGUGCAUUCUACUUGAACAUUCGUGAACCUAAUUAAUUAAUAUCUAAACGUUAUAAUAAAUACAACGGUGUGGAAAUAUUCGUCGUAGCCACUGUAUAAUCCUUUGCCAAUAUUUAAAUCAUACCCCCAUGCUCAAAAGCACACACACCCAUUCCCCUAUUCGGCCACGGAUCACGAUCACAGCCGAUCGAUCAAGCCACAUAAAAAUACGUACUAUCGAACAAUAUAGAAUUUGAUACACCUAUUCCGAUUAAACAGUGUGUAAAUAUUACGAUAAACACGAUAACGUGCUAAUAUAUUUCGUAAUCACGGUGCAAUAUAUUGCCACUAUUUCAGAAUCUGUAAAUCGUACCUCCGUAUUCAAAAACACGUUCAUCCGUUUUCCUAUUCAUCCAUAGACGGCCACACCCGAUCAACCAUAUCCGAUCGCAGCACCAAGUUUAGGGUUAAGAAGGUGCACCUACACAACGUCUUCUGGGCGUACAUCAGCGACGCCACGCAGAUACACCUAACGCCUGGGCGUUUCCGUCUUGGAGCUGCCUUCCAUCCAGGAGCAACGUGCUCCGCGUGGCGUCGACCUGUUCGCUCGGACCACCGAAGAUCCCGCGGCGAACAACGUAGCCGCCGUUGGAAUCCGAUCUUACGCCGCCGACGAUCGGUACGAUUUGUACCCGGUGCUCGUCGCCACGAGGUCGCGAUUCCGCACCGCCUCUUCGUGUCAUGGUUCCGCCCCGCGAGUUUGACGGCCUGCCCUCCGCGGGAGCCGCCCCCGCUCUUUGAACAGGAACACAGAAACGCGAAGGAAUCGAUCCAGGGACGAGGAGACGGCGAGCUCGAACUCGAUGAACUUGGCCUUGGCGCUGGACACCGCCGCCAACAGGGGAACAGGGGGGAUUUUAGUUGCAGUUGCAGCGGCUCGUGAACGACAGACUCGGCGAUGGAUGUUGUUCCGAGGUGAUUUAAUGGUUGCGACCACCGAUGGAGUUACGCGUUUCUACUCUCGGGUUAUUAUAGCGUGGAUCGGGUACAUUGGGUUAGGAAGCUGCCGGUUGGAAAUCCGCCGAAUCGCGGAUAUUUCUCAGAAAUUUCUCCUUCGAUUGGACGUACUUCCCGCGUAAUUAGCACCGGACAGAUAUUUCUCUCUCAAUUUCUUAGACGUCGUAAGACACAAGCACUCUCGAUUCUUUUCAAUUAACGCGUUUCAUACGAUUCGAGCUUCGAAUGGGAUACGAAAUGUGUUUUAAAAAUAUAUCAAAUAUCUAUAUCUAUGUGCAUAUGAAUUAAUUUUGUCAGAUUUGUCGGACCACUGGACACGUACCACAGUGCAGGAAAGUUGCCACUAGAAAGUUGAAAUCGUCCCUUCAGGCGGGUCUGGUAGGCCGGCAAAUCGACACUGGCAUGCGUAAACAUAGGCUUCGAAAUCCCAAAGAGGUGGAGAGCGUCCUAAUGAAUCGCGCAUGACGCAUUGCGCAACAGUGUUCUCCUUUUCAACAAUCCCACUGUUCGUCGAUGGGGUAGGCAGGAUAGGAGCAUGCGUGAGGGGUUGUAACGUGUGUGCGUUGAUAUAAUCGGUGAAUAUGCGUUGUGGAGAGCAACUUUGAGGGUGGAGUUGAACGAUCUCGAUGGCGAAUGAAAGCAAUUUGGUAUUCUACCCGCGAGACUUGUAUCUAUUCUUCCAUUAUUGUUCGUCAAUAUCAUUCGUUUUCUGUAUUUUCUAGUCGUGUUUACGUAUUAUAUUACUUUUCACCAUAUCGUAUAUUAUAUACUACGUUUCGUAUAUUUGGUUCGUUAAAACGCCAAUAUGACCAACAUACAGACAUAUAAAUAAGAAAUAUAAAAUCGAACAAAUAAUUCGUUUUGCGGAUUUCUAUGCGCUUACGGGGAAACUGGAAAAUGCACACCUACACCGAAUGCGUAUACGUAUAUCUGUGAAGAUCGAAAUAUUUAGAAAACCGAUAUACGAUAAUAUCGGUCGUUUCCUGCGUUACCUGUCUUCGUAAAUUUGCCCACUGUCUCUAGCAUAUAACGAUCGGAGGGUAAAAUUUAUGGAAACCGGUGAAACGGAUGUCGACAGCCACGUGGUAUCGUUGCACGCGCCUGCGCCUCGAUACUGUACGGCGGGACGAGCCGUUCCUUCAGGAUCGCUCGUGAAGAAAGGUGGAGAGGUCGGAGGACAACGGUCGCGCGCGCGGCUUGGUAGGGGACAGAUGGUCGCACGAGGUUGGACGAAAGGGCCAGGCGCACGCCAGUCGAAAAAGGGUGCGACCUUCGUUGGCCGAGGCCAGCCCUCGGGGAGACCGCGCCCACGCAUUUUCAGCAGGAUCGCAGCACUUGGAUGGAGCUCGUUUGGCCUUGGGAACUCUCCGCCCGUGUUGGUACACCUCCUGGUCCCACCGAAGGGCCGCCAAGGGCCGAAGAAACUAUCAGCGCCAAAUACUCUUAAGAUAUAUUAUAUUGGCUGUGUAGUUUGUGGCUUGUGGCUUGUGGCUUGUUUCUUGUAGCGAGAGAAAACGGGUUUUUACGGUCAUAAGUACAAACGAAAUGGUUCAUUCGAUCGGAGAUAAAUCGAAGAAGUGAGAUUUUUCAUCUUUGGAUGCGUAUUCCUUUUUAAUGUCGCGUGUGUUUCGAAGCAUCUUAUGAUUCAAGUAUACGAAUCAUCGUACAGAGUAUCGAACAUCGAUCGAUUCGUAUUUAGAUAUUAACGAUAUCAAAGUCGAAAAUAUUUCCAAGCUGCGAAAAUGUGAUUUUACAGAUAUUCCAGACAUCUAAGGGGUGAAGGGGUUGCGAGAGAUCGUAAGAAAUACCGCGUGCGUGGUUUCUAGUGUUUUUGUAGGUAGGUUUUUGAAGCGAUGGGAUAAGCGGAGAAAUUAGCCGUGGAUGGCUCGAGUGCACUUCACUCACAAUGAGUAAAGUGAUCUACGAGGAAGGAAGGUGGAGCUCGGUGUCGUUUGAUUCGUUAAUUGGAAAAGAUAGACUUACAUAAUCUCCGGUCAUCCGGUUUCCUAAUAUUUUAUACAAUUAUUUGUAUUUUAAUAUUUUACGUGUUGCAUGUAAUUAAACGAUUGAUAUUUUUAUGCAAUUGUUAUUACGCGAAUGUAUAACAUUUUGAAAAUAAAAGUGCACUUUUUUUCAAGAAUCUAGAGAGCUUACUAACUUCCAAGUGUUAAGUAUCAAAGUUGAAAUAUCUCGCAUCUUUUUCCUCGCUUCUCUGUUGUUUUAGUCUGAAAUACUGAAACGUUAUUUCGUCCCAUAUAUAUUCAUUCCCUUACGCUUUUUCUUCAACGAGGCACAUCUACGCAUUUUGAACAGGAUCUCAUCAGAUGUUGCAAGGUGAAUAUAAGAUUCUCGAAUCAUGUACGUUUUGAAGGACUCUGCUACCUCAGACGAUAUCCUGCUGUUAUUAAGAAACAUCAUACUGCGUAAAGUCCAUAGUUUUUUUUCAAUUAAAGGUUACGUUAACGUAACAAGCGUAGAAAAACGAUUUAUUUUUUUUUUUUUUAAUAUACGAAAUUGUUCGUUUCUCUGCGAUUCUUAUUAAAUUUUCUUAUUAACAAAACUCUUCUUAUCAAGUAUCGCGUAAUUACGAUAAAGAAAUUCUCCGAACAUGCAAAGUAAUCACGAAUUAAUAUAAUAUAAUUUCCAAUUGAAGUGAAGUCAUUAUUGUACUCGUAUAUGCAAAUAAAUAUGUACAAAUACAAUUUCUCUUCAGAUACGCCCAAUGAUAUCUUCUACGUAAUGGUAUUUCAAUAGCACGUACUCGUAAUUGCCGGCUCGCUAUGGCCGCUAGGGUGUUGCCAUGGUGAGAUACCAAACUCCAUGAAAAUAUGACGAGUACGCCAUAAUCCGAAGCUCUUGACCAUCCUGUUUUCCUAUCUUACGAUAUAUGAAAGAUAUGAAUUCGCCUAUCUAUGUUACAUAUCGCAAACGGUGAAUCUACCACACAACGAUAUUCCUGGUCUUUCGUAAAGUCUCUCUAAUGUAGCGUAAAUAACUUUUUAUCAAUUUCUACCUCGCGUAGAAUCACGUCUGCCAAUUGUUAUUCUUCCUUUAUCAACGUAGUCGCGGUACGAUAAAUUUUGUCGAUGGAAAAAUAAAAGAAUAUCAAAUUUGUUGAAGCAAGUGUACGAGAAUUUUCACCGAGUCGUAGUAACUCUGACGAACGUUAAAAUAUAAGGUACGUAAAAUUCAGACGUAAAACUGACUGAAAGACGGAGGAACGGUAGCUUGUAUGUUGUUCUUCGGGGAAUAUUUAAAGGCUGUUGGUCUGCUUCGCGCCGAUAUGUGCCUCUGGUUCGCCGGUUUCCCGCCAGGGUACCUCUUCGUCCGCCUUAUUUCCCUGCUAUGUCGAUGUAACGGAGUUGUUUACACUGCGCAUGUAAUAUGGCACCAAAUACGCUUCUGUUCACGUCGUGUCACUCGUGCGUCUUCCUUCCUGGCUACAUCACCGCUCUCGACGCAGCUAUUUCAAUCGAUUUUCUCGUUGUAAUAACUACUUACAACAUCUAUAUGAAAGCCAAUGUACGGAUGUAAUUUACAAAUUUCUAUAAUUGCGUCGAACGCAAUUUUCAUAUAACCAAAUAUUGUCUUAUUGACCAGGUAACUAAUAUAUCUACCGGAGAUAUAAGAAAUAGUUGAACGGUCUUGUAAAGGCUAUAUCGUAAUAGGUUAAAUCGCUUAAAAGAGCCGUUACAAUUUCAUUAAGCUGUUCCGUUCAAGGGUUUGGAGAUACUAGAAUUCGGGAGAAAGUCGAAUCGUUCUCGAUACAUCCAGAACCAGGAGUCCAUGUUUCGCAGCUAUUGUCUCGAGUAUCGUGAUUGGGUGUUUUCACGUUGUGGCCACGUGAACGGUGAAAAGAAAGGGAGAAAAGGCAGCAUCAAGAGCAAAUCACGAUACGGUUGGUAGCAGGGUCACAGGAAUUCACAGAGCAACUCGUUUCCAUCGAACGGGACACCUGAAUACAACGAGAGAUAAUCAGGUGUUUGACCCUAACGUCUAGCCCUGUCUGUUUCUUCUCUUUUUCCGAAUGUCCACGAGAACAAGGACGUUAUACUCCUAACGAUAUUCAUCGUGUACAAAAUCCUUUCCAAAGUUCAUCCUUUUUAUUGCGAAAAUAGGUCAAGCGUCGUGUAAAUAAUUUAUAGAUAUUUAAAGAAGAGUUUAAAGUAAGGAACUUGCGUUUCUCUCGUGGAAUGGAGGAAAGAGAGAAGGUGGUGGGUGGAUUGGCUUCUUGACCCCAAACCACCGAAAGUCCACGAUGAGAUAUGAAAAAAAUGAAAAGUGAUAUCUCUGUUAACAGGAGAUCAUGAUGGCCUCGGAGUUUCGCCCCGGAAACAGAAAAAGUUCGUAUGUAUCGCAUUUAUCGAAUACGUUGUACGUGAUCAAGAAGAAUUGUGGAAUCAAAAGGAUCAUCUACAUAGCUGUAAGACAAUCCAUUAGUUCGAUUAAAUAGCUUUUCUUUAACAAAAUCUGUACGAUUCUUGAAAAUACCAACGAUUCUAAUACCGAUACUAAUAAAAUAACUAAUAUUAAAUAACAUUUUUAUUCUUAAUUCAAGUUGUCAAGUAUAAUUAUCAGGAAUGACUUUUAAAUUAGCGUGUUCAAGUAUAAACAACCGAUUGUAUAAAUCUCUAAAGACUGUAUGGACGAAACGUCCAGGUAUCGUCGUAAUAACCGCAAUUAGAUCCGCUUCAUUGAGUUCUAAAUGCGGAGACUCGAUCACUAGGAACACAGAUGAGGAGAAGAGUCACGAAGGAUCCUCGUAACUGGAAGGAGGAGCCUCGACGAUGAUCCUCCUGCCAUUUCAUCCUGCUAUCCUGACCGCUGUCGCCGUCUUUCUUAUUAAUAUGCUAAUUUUACAUGGGCAUAGGCAUCAAAUUAUUAACGGGAUGCUCUAUCCACGAGCGUUUUCUCGAAACAGGCUUGAUGGAACCGCUUUCGAUGUUGUCCAGGGUGUUUCAAGGCACGUGUAAUACGAAACACCUUCGACCAGGAUAGCAUGGAGGAUCAGGAAUGCAUCAAACGCACGGAUCUGAAUCCACUUGAGUAUCCGCCCUUAAGCUCCCGGAGGGUAGAAGGAUUUGCCGCUUCAGUGACUUUGAAAGAAACAGAAACGGCUAAAGAAACAGGAACGCAAACGAGAGAGGAGCAACGGCAACGGAUAUUCCUCAAGACGUGCCUCUGUGUCACUUUUAUAGUCCUGGAAGCUACAGAGAUGGAAACAAAAUGUUCGUGGGCCUUCGAAGCAUUUUUAAAGUGCCCGCCAUUGAAUGUCCAUGCGACAGUCGUGCAAAGGUUCGUGAUUGACUGCGGCAUUGGCAGCCAUUUGAUUCGAAACAGAGUUUGCAAGACAUCAGGAGAUCAUGUAUGCGCAACAAUUCUUUGGAACGCAACUCAGCUUUCAAGGAAGUGUGUUUUUAUAUAUAACAGCUUCACAUUGAUAUGGAUAUUUUAUUUGUUGAUAGUUAAUUCUUUAGUUUCUUAGAUUCUUUAAAAAUUUUAAAAGCGUUGUUCAGUAAUAGAGUAUUAUUGGGAGUUAUUAGUAGUUCUAUAAGAAAACAUGGAACUUCGAACGCUAGAAGCUGUUGCCUAUUAUCUUAUCUGACUUCUGACUUUUAUUAUUUGAUAUUUUAUUAUUUAUUAUUUCCCUUGAAAUAAUUCAGCUCUUUUAUACAAAUAUAAACAAAGUUCAAAGAGUUAGAAACAAAAUAGACGUCAUGUGUUCCCAAUACAAGUAAAGCUAUACAUAUAAACGUAAGAGAGUAUACCUGCACAAGCGUCAUAGAAACCAAUGUUUUGCGAACUGUCUUCCAGUUAGUAUACGAACUCUAUGUUAGUAAUACUAGUAACCACGCGAACUUCGAAACAUUCGGCCACACAUGAUCAGGAAAGUAUGAAGGCAAGAGUUCGCGUGAUAGUUCAUGAUGCCAGUAACAGGAAACAAGUAUGCGUUAGUUAUAUUAAUACACUUGAACUAUGAUGUUUCAUUAACCUCUAUUUGUGUGUUAAAACGGAUUAAGAACGACGGAGAAAUGGCUCUAGUCGAAGUCAAAUCCGAGAAUCGAACAUCGAGAACAGAGAACGAAUAAACAACCUUAUAGGGAUGUUAGAAGAUGGUAGAAGGUUGAACGCAUUUGCCUAGAUAUUUCUCACGGGAAGGGUAUCGAUUGUGUGUAUAUGGUAAAGCAGGGUCAUUUCAGUCGCUUAAGUUUCCACAUCUUGUCUCGUCAUCAAGUCGUUUGAACAAUUACAGAUUUUUCCGAAUUUUAUUAUACACUUCUGACUUUCAUUAUUCAUAAUAAUAUGUCAGAAUUAAUCUUUGUAUUCUCAAAUCAAUUCUAUUAAUUAUAUGCUAUCAAGUAUACAGGAAGUAUGACUCGGAAACUCGCAGUGCAAUUUAUCGAUAACCUAGCAGACAAAUUAUAAUGGAAAGAGCAACCUACGUUAUUAUAUAUUGGGAACAGAAGAUGUAUUGCACAAUUAUUUGAUAAUGAUGGAAGAACCCAUUACAGUUCGUUAAUUGCACGUAUCUUUCAAAUAUCUUUCGAUAAAAUCAACGAAAGAUGAUUAUCUAUAGUCGUCAUACCGCGCACGACUGUGUUAAAA
Long non-coding RNA from Bombus terrestris (buff-tailed bumblebee), 15417 nucleotides. RefSeq lists it as uncharacterized. The transcript has 7 exons. The record is from RefSeq and is a predicted model, not a curated record. Lineage: Eukaryota; Metazoa; Arthropoda; Insecta; Hymenoptera; Apidae.